UAACCCUGUGCAUCUGUUAUUGGUUAGUAGCUCUUCGGAGUGAACUCCAUUCACUUACAAACACAAAGUCUAUGAAUGUAUACAAAAUUAUAACAAAACAAAACUUUCAACAACGGAUCUCUUGGCUCUCGCAUCGAUGAAGAACGCAGCGAAAUGCGAUACGUAAUGUGAAUUGCAGAAUUCAGUGAAUCAUCGAAUCUUUGAACGCACCUUGCGCUCCUUGGUAUUCCGAGGAGCAUGCCUGUUUGAGUGUCAUGA
RNAcentral lists this ribosomal RNA (258 nucleotides) under Rhodotorula kratochvilovae. Its description in RNAcentral is "5.8S ribosomal RNA". The stretch from base 102 to 255 matches the Rfam family "5.8S ribosomal RNA". Rfam says of the family: 5.8S ribosomal RNA (5.8S rRNA) is a component of the large subunit of the eukaryotic ribosome. It is transcribed by RNA polymerase I as part of the 45S precursor that also contains 18S and 28S rRNA. Lineage: Eukaryota; Fungi; Basidiomycota; Microbotryomycetes; Sporidiobolales; Sporidiobolaceae. The record is from RNAcentral.